GUUGGUGAACCAGCGGAGGGAUCAUUACCGAGUUUACAACUCCCAAACCCCUGUGAACAUACCUAUACGUUGCCUCGGCGGAUCAGCCCGCGCCCCGUAAAAAGGGACGGCCCGCCCGAGGACCCCUAAACUCUGUUUUUAGUGGAACUUCUGAGUAAAACAAACAAAUAAAUCAAAACUUUCAACAACGGAUCUCUUGGUUCUG
RNAcentral lists this unclassified non-coding RNA (205 nucleotides) under rhizosphere metagenome. RNAcentral describes it as "partial ribosomal RNA internal transcribed spacer region". The record is from RNAcentral.